GUAGCACAGGCUCCAUUCUUUUUCCUUUUAAGAAAAUGCAAACAAGUACUUGUGCUUUCUGUAGUAAUGUUUUCCUUAAUUGAGAACAUUAAAUAACAAUUGUAUUUAUUAAGUUAGUCAGUGAUUAUAAAAUCUUUCAUCUGAUAUGACUGGGAAACUUACCAGUCUUUAUUUAAUUUUCACUUUCUUUUUAGGAAAUUAAGUAAAAAUUGAGUAGUGGAAUUCUAUUCUCCCCACUGAUAGAAUUGAAGAUAUUAUCAGACAAGACAAAAAACACUGGGCUGCUGUACUAGAGUAUAUACAAAUAGCAUAUGGAACUAGAUUUCCCUUAGUAUUGGCUAGAUUAGGGUAAUGAUCAGCAAAUAUUCUUACUAGUAAAAUUGUACAUUUUUUUCUUUGCUUUAGUAUUCAUUUAAAAAAUUUUUACGUUUCUAGUUUUUUCCCUUCCUCCAGUUCCUUCCCUAUCCAAUUGAGGAGGUAAGCAAGAUGAUGGUUCUUAUACAAGUGAAGUUAUGAAAAAUGCUUCCAUAUUGGCCAUUUUUUUAAAAAGCAAAAAAAAGGGGGGAGGGGUAUGUUUCAUUCUGCACUCAGACUUCAGUUUUCUUUUUGGAGGUGGUUAGCAUUUUUCUUUGUGAGUUCUUUGGAAUUGUCACAGAUCAGUGUAUUGAUUAAAGUAGGUAAGAAUUAUAGUUGAAAAUCACAAAAACUUGCCAUUACUAUGUAUAGUGUUCUCUUGGGUUCUGUUCAUUUCAGUUUGCUUUAGUUUAUGUGAGUCUUUAUAAAACCAUUCCCUUUGUCAUUUCUUACAGUGCAAUAAUAUUCCAUCACAGUUUACCACAAUUUGUAGAGUUGUUUCCUUAUUGAUGAACAUCUAAUUUCCAAUUCUUUCCUACUACAAAAAGAGUUAUUGAUUUUUUUUUGCACAUAUAAGUCUUUUUCCUUAAAGUUGCUUAAACUCAAAUCUUUUAUUAGCCUUUCUAAAUGAAAUAUUAAAAAUAACAUUAAAUUUCAUUCCUAAUCUGUCUCCAGAAUAUGAAAUCUACUCAUGAAUAGAAAUUAUUUCUUAAUUUUCUUUUUAAAUUUUCUUUCUGUUUCAUUCUAAUUACCACAGGGGGUGGGGAAGAGGAGAAGAAUAAAAAACUCUUCUCUUUAGGAAAUUAUUUUUGUAUUCUUUUUCUUAAAGGACUUUUGUGUUUUAUUUUGUUUUUUUCUUCAUCCUACUGAAACUCAGUCACUGUCCCUGGUUUUAGUAGGUGUUCCAAGAUUUAUUUGCUGUUUUUAAGUGUAUAGUUCAAAAAUUAACUUUUAUUUCAUUGACAUAAUUUCUAGUGUCUUGGAGUUUAUUUAUUCCCAGCUUGUUAAUAUUAAUCUCUCACUUACUCUCCAAAAUCAAAGAAAAAACAGAAAUAAAUAGUCAUGGUCACCUUAUUAAGCGAUUAGUUUAUAUUGAGCUACUAGUUGCAAGUUUGAUCAUGGUUUGAAAAGGAUCACAGUUUAUAGAAGCAGUGACCUACUUAAGUAAGACAUCACCAACUUUUAGUCGAUAAAUAUCAUAGCAAGUUAAUUAAAUUAACAGCCUCUAAUGGCUGUUUAAAUUUAUCUCAGUUUGAGCAAUAUUUGUUGAAAUACAUCAGAACAAAAGGGAAAAUGAUGAUAAAAAAAACCAUCCAUGCAGUCUUUUUAAUUGAAAUGUCUAAGGUUCUUUGUUGUUUUAAUGUAAUGGUAUCCAAUGGUAUCCAGGACAGCCAAUUUCAGAAUUGUUGAACUUACUUAAAAACCAUGAUGAAAAGAAGAAAGCCUGGAUAAAAUUUUUCAAGGAAUUAUUAAGGAAAAAUGUCUUGAUAUCCUAGAACCAGAGGGCAAAAUAGAAAUUAAAAGAAAUUCCAGAGCUUCCAGAUCAAGGAGUGUAAAAGGCUGAAACUAUGAAAAGAAUUGUCAUUGUGAUUCAAGUUUGAUAGCAGUCAGAAAAAUGAAUAUCACCCUCAGUUUGUGUGCAGAUUAUAAUCUAAAAGUUCAGCCAAUAUAGCCUAACUUUUAUCACAUCAUCCACAAUAAAAACCUCUGAUUUAAAGAUUUCCAGUGGUAAGAAUUUAAUUUUCUCCUAAAGAAAUUCAGUAUUCUUUGGAUAUCCCUAAUUUCAGGGAAGUUUUUCCAUAUUUUGAAAUAAUUCUGCUUCCCUGGCACAAUUAUCUUGUUCUGUUCUCUAGCAUCAAACAAAAAAUCAUCUCUAUAAUAAUCUUUUAAAUAUGUAAGCACUAAACUUAUUCUCUACUUCACCAAAUUAUCCAGAUAUUAUCAGUUUCACUAGAUGAUCCUCUUAAUAAAAAGGCUAAGUUCCUUCACCUUCCUAGACACAGUCUUACAUCCAAGGAUAAUUUUACCAUACUUUCUAAAAUUUUGCACCCUGAAAGCUAGCAGCAAGACACUGAACCCCAGGACAAAAGCCUUGGAAUCAGAGGUUAACUAUUCUCACCUAAAAAUAUCAAAUCACAAAAUAAAAAAAUGAACAAAAAAAGUUGGAAUAAUCCAAAAAAAACCCCCAAAAACCCAAGAAAAAAAUGUCAACAGCAUAGAAAAAGUAGAAUUGACUAAAUAGAAAAGGAGGGAGAAAAUCUCAGAGAAGAAAAUGAUUCAUUAAAAAUUAGAAUUUGAGAAGUGGAAGCAUGAUGAAACAAAAAAGAAAAGAAAACGAAAUUUCUAAUUGAAAAGAAAACUGAUCUGAAAAAUAGAUCCAGGACAGCCAAUUUCAGAAUUGUUGAACUUACUUAAAAACCAUGAUGAAAAGAAAAAAGCCUGGAUAAAAUUUUUCAAGGAAUUAUUAAGGAAAAAUGUCUUGAUAUCCUAGAACCAGAGGGCAAAAUAGAAAUUAAAAGAAAUUCCAGAGCUUCCAGAUCAAGCAGUGUAAAAGGCUGAAACUAUGAAAAGGUAUGCUUGAAUCAGACAACUGAGCACUUAAAGCUAAUUACUUAUUCGAUAUGAGAUGAUGACUAUUAGUAUAUGUUAGCAUUACACAGAAUUCAGCAAUUUUCACACUAAAAAACUGAGGUACUUGAAAUAUGACUUUCUGGAAAGUAGAAGAGUUAGAUUAUAACCAAGAAUCACAUACCUAUCAAAAAUGAAGAUAAUCCUUCAGGGGAGGGAGGGAAUGGAUAUUUAAUGAAAGGAAUUUAACAUAAAUUAAGAUGAAAUGAAAUUUAAUUUAAAAAGAGAAUUUUAAUUAAAAGACCAGGAAUGAAUAAAAAAAUAACCUUCAAAUACAAGAUUUAAUGGAAAAUAAAAAAUAAAUAAGAGAGAAAACAUAAAACUUGUAAGGUAAGACUGUUUAUAUUACCAUGUGGCGAGAGAUUUAUCAAUUGUAAGAAAUUUAUUACUGUAAGGGCAAUUAGAAAGCAUAUACUAGGAGUAGACAGAGAGUGUGGAUGUAAGCUUAUAGAGUGUGGAUGUAAGCUUAUUUUGAUGGGAUGAUACAAAAAAAAAAAAAAACCCAAAGAAAUGAAAAAGAAGAUUGUACUAGGUGAAAGAGGGGGAAGACUGGGAUAAGUUAUUUCUCAUAAAAGUAGCAUAAAAGAACUAUUAUAAUGGACGAGAAUAUGGUGGGGGGAGGUAGUGGUCAGGAAGCUUAGAAAUCUUACUCCCAUCAGAAUUAGCUUAAAGAAGGAAUAACAUAAACACUUAGUUGUGUACAGAAAUCCAUUUUAUAUAAGGAAAGUGUGUGUGUGUGUAUGGGAGUAAAGGGAUAUUAGGAAGCAAAAAGGGAUAAGAGAAAGGAGCAGGGGAGGCAAAAGAAAGAGCACAUUAAAGGGAGGCUGAUCAGAAAUAAAACACUUGUGAGAAGGGAUAGUGUGAAUUUAGGUAAGAGAGAAGCAAAAACAAAGGAGAAAUAGCACAGAGGGAAAUACACAAUAAUCAUAAGUAUAAAUAUGAAUGUGAUGAAUUCACCCAUUAAAUAAAAGCUGAUAGAAUGAAUUAAAAGCCAUAAUCCUAUAUAAUGUUAUUUAUAAGAAAUACAUCUUAAGCCCAAAGACACACAUAGAGUAAGAUAAGAAGCUGGAGUAGAAUCUAUUUUGCUUCAGCCGAAGGGGAAAAAAAAAAAGCUGGAGUAGCAAUUGUGAUCUCAAAGUAAAAAUAGGUUUAAUAAAAAGAAAUAAGAAAAAAUAUCGAAAAGAUAACAAUAGACAAUGAGUAAUAUGUACCAAAUGGAAUAGCAUCUUUUUGAAGGAUAUGUUGAACAUAUUUUGCUAUAAGAAUUAAAUAAACCUAACCAAAAAAUGAACAAGAAAAACAUUAAAGAGGUGAAGAGCAUUCUGCAAAAGUUAAAUAUGAUAGAUCUCUAGAGAAAAAUGAAUUCACAAAAGUUGACCAGAUAUUAGGGCAUUAAAAACUUCACAACUCAUGCAGAAAAGCAGACACAGCAAAUAUUCUUUUUAGGUCAUAAUUACAUUAAAUAAUGGGCUGUGUGUGUGUGUGUCCCCUCUUUGAGUCUGUUCAGAUGAGAAUGAGAUUCAGAUGUUAUUAGUCCUCUAAACAUCUCCUUUAAUGUGAGAUAAUUUUUGCUAUUCUUAUUUUUCCCUUCUUCCAGUGCAUUCAUUUCCUUAUCUUUCCCUUAAUUUGCAUUUUUCUGAUCAAUAAUAAUUAAGACAGUUCUGAGGUACCACUACAUCCCUCUCAGAUUGGUUAGGAUGACAGGAAAAGACAAUGAUGAGUGUUGGAGGGGAUGUGAGGAAACUGGGACACUAAUACAUUGUUGGUGAAGUUGUGAAUGGAUCCACCCAUUCAGUAGAGCAAUUAGGAACUAUGCUCAAAAAGUUAUCAAACUGUGCACACCCUUUGAUCCAGCAGUGUUUCUACUAGACUUGUAUUCCAGAGGGAUCCACAUGUGCAAAAAUGUUUGUGGAAACCCUUUUUGUAGUGGCAAGAAACUGGAAACUUGAGUGGAUGCCCAUCACUUAGAGAAUGACUGAAUAAUUUAUGAUGUAUGAAUGUUAUUGAAUAUUAUUGUUCUAUAAGAAAUGAUCAGUAGGAUGAUCUCUGAGAGGCUUGGAGAGACUAACAUGAACUGAUGCUAAGUGAAGUGAGUAGACCCAGGAGAUCAUUGUACAUGGCAAACAGCUAGAUUAUAUAAUGAUCAAUUCUGAUAGAUGUGGCUGUUUGCAACAAUGAGAUGAUUCAGGCCAGUUCCAGUGAUUUUGUGAAAAUCAGUCAUCUGCACACAGAGGACAGUGGGAACUGAGUGUGAAUCACAACAUAGUAUUUUCAUUCGUUUUGUUGGUAUUUGAUUGCAUUUUGUUUUCUUUCUUACUUUUUUUUCCCCCUUUUUGAUAUGGUUUUUCUUGUACAGCAUGAUAAUUGUGGAAACAUACUAGAAGAAUUGUACAUGUUUAACAUAUGUUGGAUUUCUUGCCAUCUAGGGGAGGGAUGGGUAGAAAGGAGGAAAAAAAAUAGGAAUACAAGGUUUUGCAAGGUUGAAUGUUGAAAAUUAUCCAUGCAUAUGUUUUGAAAAUAAAAGGCUAUAAUAAAAAAUCUUAAAUUAAAAAAAGAGGGUCUAUGAUAUGUUUGCAGCUGGUGUAUUAAACUUGAAAUUGUUAGAAAUUUUUUUUUAAACUCAGAAAUACAGCAUAUUUCUUAAUGUGUUUAUGUAUAUUAUAUUUAUUUAACUUGAAUAUCUGUAAAUUGUAUUGUGUGUGUCUUCAAUGCUAUUAUAUAUGUGUGUGUGUAUAUAUAUAUAUUCUUGAUUAUAAUAACUGGCAUUAAAUAUUGCUUUAAAAUUUGCAGAGUUGUUUACACUUGUUCCUUGAUUUAGUCCUUGUCACAAACCAGUGAGGGAGGUGCUAUUACUGUCCCCAUUUUAUGAGUGAUGAAACUGAUGAUGAGAGAGACCAUGAGAAUCACAUAAGGUCACAUACCAAUAAGUGUUUGAAAAAGAAUUUGACUAUUUCUAUGAUAUUAAAUAGCUGUCUUAACAUAUCUGUGAGUUCACUAGAUGCAUAUAUGACUUCUAUCAUAUGUAAUACAUGUUAAAUAAAAAUAUGUAUUAUACACACCAAGAAAAUGUGCCAUGUUGUUUUUAAAUCUCCUUAAAAUUUUUUUGAAGUAGAUCACAUUAAUGGAUCUCUGAUUUUGUUGAGUGGGGUACUUACCUGUGACAUAUUUGUAACUUGGUACGUGGUCUUUGAAAACUAAUAUAGCUGAAAAACUUGUAGUCCCUUUGGUCAAUUUGAUGAGAUUUUAAAAAAUUGACAUAUGAUUUCAUUGCUGUAAGGAAACUCCUUGUAUAUUUGGAGUACCAAAUAUAUCAAUACUUUCUCUGUAAUUUAUGGUCUUAAAAGAAUUCUCUGGGGUAUCGAGAAAUUAGUUUUGUGUGGAUACACAGAUAGUAUAUUUCAGAAAUUUGAAUCAUAGCUCAGGAUUUUUGGCCACCUUUCUAUCCACUAUGCCAUGCUGCUUAAUAAUUAAAACUCUAGAAAUAGCACAUCUAACCAUAUGGAUUUUCUACUUUAUUGAAAUCCAGUGUCUCAUUGCUUUUAGGUUAUAUAAUUAUAAGUGCUAUUUUUCAUCUUUGAAUGCUUUUCACAACUUUAUCACAGAGAGCCUUUCCCAUUAUACUUUCAAAAGUCAGAUAGCAGAGUAAGAGCUUACAGCAUUGCCUAAAUUCUCCCAGAAUAUCUUCCACAACCAACUACAAAAUGUACCAAACUCUGAGCAGUAAAGACCCCCACCCCACCCUCCCACCUCACCCAUCCCCACCAAAUGUUAAAGUCAAUCAGUUUUUCAACCCAGAGCAUAAAGAGGAAAGUGGACACUAGGGUGUGGGCUGCCUGAGAACACAGCAUAAAAUCAGAAAGCUGUUUUAGCCUUUUCUCUGGUUAAGUGAUGGGGAGCAGCCAGUCUCCAGAAAUCAUAAGGGGCCCAAAAAUUUAAGCAGAAGGAACUCUGCUUCAAAUAGAUCAUUCCUAUACUACCCUUGGGAGCAGGAUCUAGCAUAUCUGGGAGCAGGAACUCUUCACACAGUUCUGGUCCAUGGUGCCAGGGCAUAGAGUAACAGUAGUUGUCAUGAGGAAGGGAGAAGACACCUUCCCUGUGUAAGGAGUGGACUUUACUCCAGGUAGCCAGUGAAAAGACCUCUCUCUUGAAACAAUGAAAACUUACAAGGCCCUAGACUGAGUCAUGAAAGACAAGCCAAUCAUAAUCUGAGAGGUGAGCAGAGCCUUAUUCUCUAACACAAAGUCCAAAUAUAAGAAGUAGGAUGAAAAAAGAAAUCUACUACCGUGUUUCCCCGAUAAUAAGACCUAUCCCGAAAAUAAGCCGUCCCCUUACUGUAUAAGAUUCCUCUAAAAUAAGCCCUCCCCUGAAAAUAAGCCCUAUUGAGAUUGCUACUGUAGUGAACGUGAUCCCCUGUGCUACAUGCUACAUUAUGGUACCCUCUGUAUGCACCGUUUCCCCUCCCCUCUGCUCCCCCACCCCGGGUGAAACGCACGCCACGCUCUGAGCUGCAGCAGUGAGCGCGUCAUCCUGUUCUUCCCCCAGUGAUUUGCUUGCUGGCGCCAUUGAGAGCAGUGCCGUGGAGGAGAGCUGAGGCAGGACAACAUAAAAACCCCGGUAUGUAAGCGGGAGUGAGGGGGCAUGAUGGAGGAUAAAAGGGGCAUAUUGGAGGAUAAAAGAAGAACUCAGGGGGCAUGAUGGAGGAUAAAAGAAGAACUCAGCCAGCACUCACCGCGCUAAAGAAAUGAAGAACUUCCUUGCAGAGAGAAGAAUAGAUCAAGUAAUGAUUCCUGCAGGAAUGACUGCCUAUCUCCAGACCCUUGAUAUUGCAAUAAACAAGCCAUUCAAGGACCAUUUGCGCAUGGAAGUCAAUGACUACAUUGAAAAUAGAAUGGAAAGAAAUCAGCAUGGAAACUUUGUGAAGCUCUGUCUGCAAGAAGUCGUGACUUGGGUGAAGAAGUCAUGGGAUAAAAUUACUGACAGCUUGUCGCCAAGGCACUAGGAGCAGGUUACCUGGACAAGACAUGUUCAUUUAAAGAGAGCUAUAUUGCUGGACAUGACAGAUUGGGUCCACUUCUUCUGAAGGAAAUAGAGGCGAAAGACAUCCAGGACGGAAUUCAGGGUAUGGACACUUAUGACGAUGUUGUUGAAGAAGAUGACAUGAUCAUUAUUGAAUAAAGGUAAUUUUUUUGGUUCACAUUUACCUGUUUAUUAAAAUUGCUGUCAAUGUUCAUUAAAAUAAGCCCACCCCUGAAAAUAAGCCCUCUGGUGUUUUUCUGUUCAAAAAAAUAAUAAGACAAUGUCUUAUUAUCGGGGAAACACGGUAUAAGGGGCUUGUUAAUAUUUAAAAAGAAAGAAAAAAAGUAAA
Molecule: long non-coding RNA, 8347 nt
Organism: Antechinus flavipes (yellow-footed antechinus)
Lineage: Eukaryota; Metazoa; Chordata; Mammalia; Dasyuromorphia; Dasyuridae
Exons: 2
Source: RefSeq, a predicted model, not a curated record